This 1098-nucleotide long non-coding RNA is filed under the name Anas platyrhynchos platyrhynchos (common mallard). RNAcentral's name for it is "lncRNA (ENSAPLG00000017074.1)". The record is from RNAcentral. Lineage: Eukaryota; Metazoa; Chordata; Aves; Anseriformes; Anatidae.
CUGGGACCCCCAUGAUUUUGGGGUAGCCCCCCAGGACUACCGUGACUUUGGGGUGCCACCUGAGACCACUGUGACUUUGGGGUAGCCCCCAAGGACCCCCAUGACUUUGGGGUAGCCCCCCAAAGACCAGCUUGACUUUAGGAUGCCCCCCAGGACCACCAUGGCUCCAGGGUUGUCCCCCAGGACCCCCAUGGCUCUGGGGUCCCCCCAGGCCCACCAUGACUUUGGGGUGCCCCCUGGUUCCACCAUGACUUUGCAGUGCCCCCAAGACCACCAUGGCUCCGGGGUAGCCCCCCAAAGACCCCUAUGACUUUGGGGUGACCCCCGGGACCACCAUGGGUCAGGGGUAGCCCUGAGGACCCCCAUGACUUUGAGGGUGUCCCCCAGGACCACCAUGGCUCUGGGGUGCCCCCCAAAGACCCCCAUGACUUUGGGGUGCCCCCAAGGACCCCCAUGGCUCUGGGGUAGCCCCCCAGGACCCCCAUGACUUUGGGGUGCCCCCCAGGACCCCCAUGGCUUCAGGGUUGCCCUGAGGACCACGGUGACUUUGGUAUGCCCCCCAGGACCACCUUGACUCUGGGGUAGCCCCCUGGGACCACUGUGACUUUGGGGUGACCCUGAGGACCCCCAUGACUCCACAGUGCCCCCCGAGGACCCUGAUGACUUUGGGGUAGCCCUUGGGACCACCAAUGGCUUUGGGAUGCCCCCCAGGACCACCAUGACUUCGGGGUGCCCCCGAUGACCCCCAAAUCUCCGGGGUGACCCCAUCACGGCCUUCCAGUACCACCACUAACCCCCCUCUCCCCCCCUGGCCCCCCCCCCCCCCCCCCCCCAGAGGUGCAGUUCCGCCCGUACCGCACGGACGACUUCAUCACGCGGCUGUACUACGAGACGCCGCGCCUGACGGUCCUCAACCAAACCUGGGUGCUGAAGGCGCGCGUCAACGACUCGGAGCGCAACCCCAACCUCUCCUGCAAGCGCACCCUGUCCUUCCAGCUCAUCCUCAAGAGCAAGGUCAACUCGCCGCUCGAGUGCUCCUUCCUCCUCCUCGAGGGGCCCUACGACGACGUCAAGAUCAAGCCGAUCCAGAAGUAGGCG